This 429-nucleotide ribosomal RNA is filed under the name Chloroflexota bacterium. RNAcentral's name for it is "Chloroflexi bacterium partial 16S ribosomal RNA". It matches the Rfam family "Bacterial small subunit ribosomal RNA", at positions 355 to 776 of the family's 1533-position model. The record is from RNAcentral. Lineage: Bacteria; Bacillati; Chloroflexota.
UGGGCAAUAUUGCACAAUGGGCGCAAGCCUGAUGCAGCCAUGCCGCGUGUAUGAAGAAGGCCUUCGGGUUGUAAAGUACUUUCAGUCGGGAGGAAGGUGGUAAGGUUAAUAACCUUAUCAAUUGACGUUACCGACAGAAGAAGCACCGGCUAACUCCGUGCCAGCAGCCGCGGUAAUACGGAGGGUGCAAGCGUUAAUCGGAAUUACUGGGCGUAAAGCGCACGCAGGCGGUUGAUUGAGUCAGAUGUGAAAUCCCCGGGCUUAACCCGGGAAUUGCAUCUGAUACUGGUCAGCUAGAGUCUUGUAGAGGGGGGUAGAAUUCCAUGUGUAGCGGUGAAAUGCGUAGAGAUGUGGAGGAAUACCGGUGGCGAAGGCGGCCCCCUGGACAAAGACUGACGCUCAGGUGCGAAAGCGUGGGGAGCAAACAGG